Molecule: ribosomal RNA, 253 nt
Filed under: uncultured Limnobacter sp.
Lineage: Bacteria; Pseudomonadati; Pseudomonadota; Betaproteobacteria; Burkholderiales; Burkholderiaceae
Description: partial 16S ribosomal RNA
Rfam family: Bacterial small subunit ribosomal RNA
Source: RNAcentral
UACGAAGGGGGCUAGCGUUGCUCGGAAUUACUGGGCGUAAAGCGUGCGCAGGCGGUUGUGUAAGACAGGUGUGAAAUCCCCGGGCUUAACCUGGGAAUUGCAUUUGUGACUGCACGACUAGAGUGUGUCAGAGGGGGGUGGAAUUCCACGUGUAGCAGUGAAAUGCGUAGAUAUGUGGAGGAACACCAAUGGCGAAGGCAGCCCCCUGGGAUAACACUGACGCUCAUGCACGAAAGCGUGGGGAGCAAACAGG